Molecule: ribosomal RNA, 794 nt
Filed under: uncultured Bacteroidota bacterium
Lineage: Bacteria; Pseudomonadati; Bacteroidota
Description: bacterial SSU rRNA
Rfam family: Bacterial small subunit ribosomal RNA
Source: RNAcentral
GGCCUAAUACAUGCAGUCGAACGAGGUUUAGUAGCAAUACUAAACUUAGUGGCGCACGGGUGCGUAACGCGUAUGCAACCUACCUUCAACUGGGGGAUAGCCCCUCGAAAGAGGGAUUAAUACCCCAUAGUAAUUAGAUAAGGCAUCUUAUUUAGUUUAAAGUUCCGGCGGUUGAAGAUGGGCAUGCGUGACAUUAGCUAGUUGGUGAGGUAACUGCUCACCAAGGCUACGAUGUCUAGGGGUUCUGAGAGGAUGAUCCCCCACACUGGUACUGAGACACGGACCAGACUCCUACGGGAGGCAGCAGUAAGGAAUAUUGGUCAAUGGACGCAAGUCUGAACCAGCCAUGCCGCGUGAAGGAUGAAUGCCCUAUGGGUUGUAAACUUCUUUUGUACGGGAAUAAACCCAGGUACGUGUACCUGGCUGAAUGUACCGUAAGAAUAAGGAUCGGCUAACUCCGUGCCAGCAGCCGCGGUAAUACGGAGGAUCCAAGCGUUAUCCGGAUUCAUUGGGUUUAAAGGGUGCGUAGGCGGAUUUGUAAGUCAGUGGUGAAAGCCUGCAGCUCAACUGCAGAACUGCCAUUGAUACUGCAAGUCUUGAGUACACUUGACGUGGGCGGAAUGUGUCAUGUAGCGGUGAAAUGCUUAGAUAUGACACAGAACACCGACUGCGAAGGCAGCUCACGAAAUUGUAACUGACGCUGAGGCACGACAGCGUGGGGAUCAAACAGGAUUAGAUACCCUGGUAGUCCACGCCGUAAACUAUGAAUACUCGAUGUUGGCGAUAUACUGUCA